Molecule: ribosomal RNA, 482 nt
Filed under: uncultured bacterium
Lineage: Bacteria
Description: partial 16S ribosomal RNA
Rfam family: Bacterial small subunit ribosomal RNA
Source: RNAcentral
AUUGAACGCUGGCGGCAUGCUUUACACAUGCAAGUCGAACGGUAACAGGCCGCAAGGUGCUGACGAGUGGCGAACGGGUGAGCAAUGCAUCGGAACGUGCCCAGUCGUGGGGGAUAACUACUCGAAAGAGUAGCUAAUACCGCAUACGAUCUAUGGAUGAAAGCGGGGGACCGUAAGGCCUCGCGCGAUUGGAGCGGCCGAUGUCAGAUUAGGUAGUUGGUGGGGUAAAGGCUCACCAAGCCAACGAUCUGUAGCUGGUCUGAGAGGACGACCAGCCACACUGGGACUGAGACACGGCCCAGACUCCUACGGGAGGCAGCAGUGGGGAAUUUUGGACAAUGGGCGCAAGCCUGAUCCAGCAAUGCCGCGUGCAGGAAGAAGGCCUUCGGGUUGUAAACUGCUUUUGUACGGAACGAAACGGCUCUGGUUAAUACCCGGGGCUAAUGACGGUACCGUAAGAAUAAGCACCGGCUAACUACGUG